This 1092-nucleotide ribosomal RNA is filed under the name Triticum aestivum (bread wheat). RNAcentral's name for it is "partial small subunit ribosomal RNA". The record is from RNAcentral. Lineage: Eukaryota; Viridiplantae; Streptophyta; Magnoliopsida; Poales; Poaceae.
AUGGCCGCCAGCCCGUCUGCCUCCCCGGCUCCCACCGGCGCGCGCGUCCGGGACACCAUGUCCAGGCACUCAACGGUGCUCGUCAGGGGCACGCACCAGUUCAGCAUCGUCGGCUUCAGUCUACACCAGAGGGCCGGCGUCGGAAACUUCAUCCGAUCCGAUGCCUUUGAGGUCGGAGGUCACAGCUGGGCAAUCAGAUGCUACCCCGCCGGCAAUAGAGAGGAAGAAGAAGGGUACCUAUCACUGUACCUGGAGGUGUUGAGCACCCCUGCUUUAGAGAAGACCACUGUGAAGUACAGCUUCGAGAUCAAUGGCCCUGCCGGAACUUCGCCGCUUCUUGCCCAGCCGUGCGCAUGGGACGACUUCACCACCGAUAACAUAUCAUGGGGGUACAAAAAGUAUGUCAAGGUAGAUUCUCUUGAUUCGCGGUACUUGAGGAACGACUGCCUCGUAGUGCGUUGCACCGUCGAGGUUCAGGAGUCGAAGACCGGAGCGACCACGUCCAGCUCCAUCGCGGUGCCGCCCUCCGGUAUCCGCCAGGACCUCGCGCGGCUCCUGGACAGCAAGCGGGGGGCGGACGUGACCUUUCAGGUCGGCGGGAACGACUACGCCGCGCACAAGGCGGUGGUCGCGAUGCGGUCGCCGGUCUUCUGCGCUCAGUUCUUCGGGGCACUGGCGGACAAGCCCGGCAGCCGCCACGUGAGGAUCCACGACAUGAAACCCGCGGCCUUCGAGGCCGUGCUCCACUUCAUCUAUACGGACGCCUUGCCCCCUGUCUUCAAGGACGACUCGAAGCAGAGCCACAGAGAGAUGAUGUGCGACUGGCUUGCGGCGGCGGACCGGUACGGCCUGGAGAGGAUGAGGCUGCUGUGCGAGAGCGCGCUGCACGAGACCAUUGACGUGGAGAACGCCGCGUGGACGCUGGAGCUGGCGGACCGGCACCAUUGCCCACAGCUCAAGGCUUUCUGCGUGGAUUACAUCGUGUCUCCUGGUGUCCUGACGGAUGUGAUGGCAACCGAGGGGUACAAGCAGCUAAAGACGAAUUGCCCAUCUCUUCUUGUUGAUGUCCUGGAGAAAUUAACUUGGAAGUAG